GAUGAACGCUGGCGGCGUGCCUAAUACAUGCAAGUCGAGCGAACGGACGAGAAGCUUGCUUCUCUGAUGUUAGCGGCGGACGGGUGAGUAACACGUGGAUAACCUACCUAUAAGACUGGGAUAACUUCGGGAAACCGGAGCUAAUACCGGAUGAUAUUUUGAACCGCAUGGUUCAAAAGUGAAAGACGGGCUUGCUGUCACUUAUAGAUGGGUCCGCGCUGCAUUAGCUAGUUGGUAAGGUAACGGCUUACCAAGGCAACGAUGCAUAGCCGACCUGAGAGGGUGAUCGGCCACACUGGAACUGAGACACGGUCCAGACUCCUACGGGAGGCAGCAGUAGGGAAUCUUCCGCAAUGGGCGAAAGCCUGACGGAGCAACGCCGCGUGAGUGAUGAAGGUCUUCGGAUCGUAAAACUCUGUUAUUAGGGAAGAACAUAUGUGUAAGUAACUGUGCACAUCUUGACGGUACCUAAUCAGAAAGCCACGGCUAACUACGUG
Molecule: ribosomal RNA, 497 nt
Filed under: uncultured bacterium
Lineage: Bacteria
Description: partial 16S ribosomal RNA
Rfam family: Bacterial small subunit ribosomal RNA
Source: RNAcentral